Molecule: ribosomal RNA, 465 nt
Filed under: uncultured bacterium
Lineage: Bacteria
Description: partial 16S ribosomal RNA
Rfam family: Bacterial small subunit ribosomal RNA
Source: RNAcentral
GACGGACGCUGGCGGCGUGCUUAACACAUGCAAGUCGAACGGAAAGGCCCCAGCUUGCUGGGGUACUCGAGUGGCGAACGGGUGAGUAACACGUGGGUGAUCUGCCCUGCACUCUGGGAUAAGCCUGGGAAACUGGGUCUAAUACCGGAUAGGACCGUGCUUUAGUGUGUGCGGUGGAAAGUUUUUCGGUGCAGGAUGGGCCCGCGGCCUAUCAGCUUGUUGGUGGGGUAAUGGCCUACCAAGGCGGCGACGGGUAGCCGGCCUGAGAGGGUGUACGGCCACAUUGGGACUGAGACACGGCCCAGACGCCUACGGGAGGCAGCAGUGGGGAAUAUUGCACAAUGGGCGCAAGCCUGAUGCAGCGACGCCGCGUGGGGGAUGACGGCCUUCGGGUUGUAAACCCCUUUCGGCAGGGACGAAGCUUUUGUGACGGUACCUGCAUAAGAAGCACCGGCUAACUACGUG